GAUGAACGCUGGCGGCGUGCCUAAUACAUGCAAGUCUAGCGAACGGACGAGAAGCUUGCUUCUCUGAUGUUAGCGGCGGACGGGUGAGUAACACGUGGAUAACCUACCUAUAAGACUGGGAUAACUUCGGGAAACCGGAGCUAAUACCGGAUAAUAUUUUGAACCGCAUGGUUCAAAAGUGAAAGACGGUCUUGCUGUCACUUAUAGAUGGAUCCGCGCUGCAUUAGCUAGUUGGUAAGGUAUCGGCUUACCAAGGCAACGAUGCAUAGCCGACCUGAGAGGGUGAUCGGCCACACUGGAACUGAGACACGGUCCAGACUCCUACGGGAGGCAGCAGUAGGGAAUCUUCCGCAAUGGGCGAAAGCCUGACGGAGCAACGCCGCGUGAGUGAUGAAGGUCUUCGGAUCGUAAAACUCUGUUAUUAGGGAAGAACAUAUGUGUAAGUAACUGUGCACAUCUUGACGGUACCUAAUCAGAAAGCCACGGCUAACUACGUG
Molecule: ribosomal RNA, 497 nt
Filed under: uncultured bacterium
Lineage: Bacteria
Description: partial 16S ribosomal RNA
Rfam family: Bacterial small subunit ribosomal RNA
Source: RNAcentral